Molecule: ribosomal RNA, 253 nt
Filed under: uncultured bacterium
Lineage: Bacteria
Description: partial 16S ribosomal RNA
Rfam family: Bacterial small subunit ribosomal RNA
Source: RNAcentral
UACGUAGGGGGCAAGCGUUGUCCGGAAUCAUUGGGCGUAAAGCGCGUGUAGGCGGCUCGGUAAGUCUGCUGUGAAAGUCCAGGGCUCAACCCUGGGAUGCCGGUGGAUACUGUCGAGCUCGAGUCCGGAAGAGGCGAGUGGAAUUCCUGGUGUAGCGGUGAAAUGCGCAGAUAUCAGGAAGAACACCCGUGGCUAAGGUGGUUCUCUAGUACGGUACUGACGCUGAGACGCGAAAGCGUGGGGAGCGAACAGG